UAGAUUAGUAACAGUUAAGUUCUCUAAAAUUAAAGGGUUUGGCGGUAUUUUAGUCUUUUCAGAGGAACCUGUUAGUUAAUUGAUGAUCCACGAGUAAAUUAACUUAACUUAUAAAUUUAUAUAUCGUCGUAGUUAAAUUUUUUAUAAGAAAUUAAAUAUUUAUAAUUUAUUAUUAUAAAUUAAAUCAGAUCAAGAUGUAGUAUAUAGUUAAGAAUUAAUGGGUUACAUUGACUUUAGUUAUGGUUUUAAUUUUUAAAAUUUUAAAAAACUGGAUUUGAAAGUAAUAUUUUUAUUACAAAUGUGAUUAAGCUCUAAAAUAUGCACACAUCGCCCGUC
This 336-nucleotide ribosomal RNA is filed under the name Oxytelus convergens. RNAcentral's name for it is "partial 12S ribosomal RNA". Lineage: Eukaryota; Metazoa; Arthropoda; Insecta; Coleoptera; Staphylinidae. The record is from RNAcentral.